GGGUGGGCGGCAGCUACACAUGCAGUCGAACGGUAGCACAGAGAGCUUGCUCUCGGGUGACGAGUGGCGGACGGGUGAGUAAUGUCUGGGAAACUGCCUGAUGGAGGGGGAUAACUACUGGAAACGGUAGCUAAUACCGCAUAACGUCGCAAGACCAAAGAGGGGGACCUUCGGGCCUCUUGCCAUCAGAUGUGCCCAGAUGGGAUUAGCUAGUAGGUGGGGUAACGGCUCACCUAGGCGACGAUCCCUAGCUGGUCUGAGAGGAUGACCAGCCACACUGGAACUGAGACACGGUCCAGACUCCUACGGGAGGCAGCAGUGGGGAAUAUUGCACAAUGGGCGCAAGCCUGAUGCAGCCAUGCCGCGUGUAUGAAGAAGGCCUUCGGGUUGUAAAGUACUUUCAGCGGGGAGGAAGGUGUUGUGGUUAAUAACCGCAGCAAUUGACGUUACCCGCAGAAGAAGCACCGGCUAACUCCGUGCCAGCAGCCGCGGUAAUACGGAGGGUGCAAGCGUUAAUCGGAAUUACUGGGCGUAAAGCGCACGCAGGCGGUCUGUCAAGUCGGAUGUGAAAUCCCCGGGCUCAACCUGGGAACUGCAUUCGAAACUGGCAGGCUGGAGUCUUGUAGAGGGGGGUAGAAUUCCAGGUGUAGCGGUGAAAUGCGUAGAGAUCUGGAGGAAUACCGGUGGCGAAGGCGGCCCC
Molecule: ribosomal RNA, 700 nt
Filed under: Enterobacter cloacae
Lineage: Bacteria; Pseudomonadati; Pseudomonadota; Gammaproteobacteria; Enterobacterales; Enterobacteriaceae
Description: bacterial SSU rRNA
Rfam family: Bacterial small subunit ribosomal RNA
Source: RNAcentral